ACUCCUACGGGAGGCAGCAGUGAGGAAUUUUGCGCAAUGGGCGAAAGCCUGACGCAGCAACGCCGCGUGAGUGAUGAAGGCCUUCGGGUCGUAAAGCUCUGUCAAGUGGGAAGAACCUAUAUAAUGUUAAUAUCAUUAUGUACUGACGGUACCACUGAAGGAAGCACCGGCUAACUCCGUGCCAGCAGCCGCGGUAAUACGGGGGGUGCAAGCGUUAUUCGGAAUCAUUGGGCGUAAAGAGCACGUAGGCGGCCUGGUAAGUCAGAUGUGAAAGCCCGGGGCUUAACCCCGGAAGUGCAUUUGAUACUGUCAGGCUUGAGUAUGGGAGAGGGAAGUGGAAUUCCUGGUGUAGAGGUGAAAUUCGUAGAUAUCAGGAUGAACACCGGUGGCGAAGGCGACCUCCUGGACCAAUACUGACGCUGAGGUGCGAAGGCGUGGGUAGCAAACAGGAUUAGAUACCCUGGUAGUCCACGCCGUAAACGUUGAUCACUAGGUGUAGCGGGUAUUGACCCCUGCUGUGCCGCAGUUAACGCAUUAAGUGAUCCGCCUGGGGAGUACGCUCGCAAGAUUAAAACUCAAAGGAAUUGACGG
RNAcentral lists this ribosomal RNA (591 nucleotides) under uncultured bacterium. RNAcentral describes it as "bacterial SSU rRNA". It matches the Rfam family "Bacterial small subunit ribosomal RNA", at positions 335 to 916 of the family's 1533-position model. The record is from RNAcentral.